Molecule: ribosomal RNA, 428 nt
Filed under: uncultured prokaryote
Description: bacterial SSU rRNA
Rfam family: Bacterial small subunit ribosomal RNA
Source: RNAcentral
UCGAGAAUCUUCCGCAAUGGACGAAAGUCUGACGGAGCGACGCCGCGUGGUGGAUGAAGUCCUUAGGGACGUAAACACCUUUUAUGAGUGAAGAAGUAUAUUGACAUUAGCUCAUGAAUAAGGGGCUCCCAACUCUGUGCCAGCAGGAGCGGUAAUACAGAGGCCUCAAGCGUUAUCCGGAUUCACUGGGCGUAAAGGGUGCGUAGGCGGUUAUAUCAGUCGGGUGUAAAAUUCUGGGGCUCAACCUCAGGUCCGCAUUCGAAACAGUAUAACUAGAAGAUGUGAGAGGUUUAGAGAACCCUCGGUGUAGGGGUGAAAUCCGUUGAUAUCGAGGGGAAUACCAAAUGCGAAGGCACUAAACUGGCACAUUCUUGACGCUGAGGCACGAAAGCGUGGGUAGCGAACGGGAUUAGAUACCCGCGUAGUCC